UGGCGGCAGGCUUAACACAUGCAAGUCGAACGCCCCGCAAGGGGAGUGGCAGACGUGAGUAACACGUGGGAACGUACCCUUUUCUACGGAAUAACGCAUGGAAACGUGUGCUAACCGUAUGUGCCCUUAGGGGGAAAGAUUUAUCGGAAAAGGAUCGGCCCGCGUUGGAUUCUAGUUGGUGGGGUAAAGGCCUACCAAGGCGACGAUCCAUAGCUGGUCUGAGAGGAUGCAGCCACAUUGGGACUGAGACACGGCCCAAACUCCUACGGGAGGCAGCAGUGGGGAAUUGGACAAUGGGCGCAAGCCUGAUCCAGCCAUGCCGCGUGAGUGAUGAAGGUCUUAGGAGUAAAGCUCUUUCACCGGUGAAGAUAAUGACGGUAACCGGAGAAGAAGCCCCGGCUAAUCGUGCCAGCAGCCGCGGUAAUACGAAGGGGGCUAGCGUUGUUCGGAUUUACUGGGCGAAGCGCACGUAGGCGGACAUUUAAGUCAGGGGUGAAAUCCCAGAGCUCAACUCUGGAAGCCUUUGAUACUGGGUGUCUGGAGUAUGGAAGAGGUAAGUGGAAUUCCGAGUGUAGAGGAAAUUCGUAGAUAUUCGGAGGAACACCAGUGGCGAAGGCGGCUUACUGGUCCAUUACACGCUGAGGUGCGAAAGCGUGGGGAGCAAACGAGGAUUAGAUACCCUGGUAGUCCUCGGUAAACGAUGAAUGUUAGCUGUCGGCAAGUAUACUUGUCGGUGGCGCAGCUAACGCAU
RNAcentral lists this ribosomal RNA (751 nucleotides) under uncultured bacterium. RNAcentral's name for it is "bacterial SSU rRNA". It matches the Rfam family "Bacterial small subunit ribosomal RNA", at positions 37 to 860 of the family's 1533-position model. The record is from RNAcentral.